UACCGCAUUCCAAUGCAACCAAACCACAAGGAAGAGUUGUGAAUGAGGCGAAUAUAUUGGGUAUCAAAAGAAGUUUGUGCGCCCCUACCAUCCUCAAACCAAUGGUCUGGUGGAGUGCAUGAACGCAACCAUCCAGAUGGUCCAAACCUGAAAUGUGGGAUGAAUAUUUGGAUGCUGUCACGUUUGGGUUGCGUAUCAAAAAACAGAUGACAACCAAAUUCUCCCCCUACUUUUGGCCGUGAAGCCCGGUACCCAACAGAAAUUCCAGAGGACUUUCUGAUGGACAGCGGUGUGGACGAUUGGAGCGGAGACAGUUUGCGAGGGCAUUAGGUGGCUUGAUGAGACAAGGGACAUAGUCCACAAAAACGUAUCCCAAUCUCAGCAGAGAACGUGCAAGAGAUUAGUUUGAAACGGAAGCAAGUCAGCUUUGCAGCGGGUGACAGAAUGUGAGGAGCCAGCAGCGUAAGGGUGGGAAGCUGGAGUCCAAUUUUCUUGGGCCCUUCACCAUCACGGCAAUCCACGGGAAAAGCGCUGAUCUCCUUGGAGACAAAUGGAGUGGAUUACAAAAAAAUCAGCACUGACCACCUAAAACAUUUCAGGCAGGAGAAUCCACGGAUUCCCCACAAAAUUGGAGCAUCCCCUGCCACUGCUGUCACUGUGCCAGGUGUGUCUGUCCCCACUGCCACAAGACCAAAACAAGACCUUCAGAGAUUGUCGCAGUAGCUUCAGCCCUCGCCACCACAGCCACUGUCCAAGCUGCCUCUGUCCCCGCCCCACACAUGCAGCCAUUGUCCUGGCUACUCCUGUCCCUUCCACCACUGUCCUUGCCACGACACCUAGUAGUAGUAGUAAUAGUAGUAGUAGUAGUAGUAGUAGUAGUAGUAAAGCCCUUUAUUCUUGUCACUUAUACAGGACUACAAGCGAAAUAGUGCAAUCAUCCGUCCAUACAUUACAACAUACUAUGCAGUGAGACAAGGGGUGACAGGACGGGAUGAUUGGGCGAUGAAGGGGGGACAAUAGGUCGAGAAUAGGUAGACGUCUUCGAUGUCCUCCACGGAAAGAAUCGCCAGGCACAUGACCUUCCACUUUCCCCAACUGUCCAUCAUGUACCGAGCGGUGUACGUUCCGUCAGGGCAGGCAGGUUCCCCCGUACCUGAGGUUCUCGUCGAGAAGAUCGUGUCAAUUGCGUGGAGAGACCAGUUCAAUUCCAUGAUUUAGGUUUUUGGAGAGCAGUGCAGUGAGAGGCUCUUGAGAAAGUACAAGACGAGACUAGACAAGACAAAGAAGCAAAGCAGGGAAGAUGAGAGGGGAAAGAUGCGACCGCCUUCGUUGAGAGCCAGAGAAGAAAAUCUGCAGCCACUGUGCUGACUGCUUCUGUCCCUGCACACAGGACCAACUGCCCCAGUCCUCCCAGUCACUGUCCCAGGUGCAGCAGGACCUGAAUAUAAAUACUCUGCGGUAGAAGGACAUGUCCCAUCCACAAAUAGUGGCACUCUGGUGCUUGGCUUGUCCUUGCAUCAAAGGUGUGAUCUGAGUAGU
This is a non-coding RNA of Doryrhamphus excisus (bluestripe pipefish), 1539 nucleotides long. Lineage: Eukaryota; Metazoa; Chordata; Actinopteri; Syngnathiformes; Syngnathidae. The record is from RefSeq and is a predicted model, not a curated record.